UAAACGACUCUCGGCAACGGAUAUCUCGGCUCUCGCAUCGAUGAAGAACGUAGCGAAAUGCGAUACUUGGUGUGAAUUGCAGAAUCCCGUGAACCAUCGAGUCUUUGAACGCAAGUUGCGCCUGAAGCCUUUUGGCAGAGGGCACGCCUGCCUGGGCGUCACGCA
This 165-nucleotide ribosomal RNA is filed under the name Dysphania atriplicifolia. RNAcentral describes it as "Cycloloma atriplicifolium 5.8S ribosomal RNA". It matches the Rfam family "5.8S ribosomal RNA". Rfam says of the family: 5.8S ribosomal RNA (5.8S rRNA) is a component of the large subunit of the eukaryotic ribosome. Lineage: Eukaryota; Viridiplantae; Streptophyta; Magnoliopsida; Caryophyllales; Amaranthaceae. RNAcentral also lists the same sequence under 2 other names. The record is from RNAcentral.